GACGAACGCUGGCGGCGUGCCUAACACAUGCAAGUCGAACGGAGUGUUUAUUUAUAAACACUUAGUGGCGAACGGGUGAGAACGCGUAGGCAACCUACCCUCUAGAUGGGGACAACACCGCGAAAGUGGUGCUAAUACCGAAUGUUGUAAUGUUGUUGCAUAAUGAUAUUACUAAAGGUGGCCUCUAUAUAAAAGCUACCGCUAGAAGAUGGGUCUGCGUCUGAUUAGCUAGUUGGUGAGAUAACAGCUCACCAAGGCAAUGAUCAGUAGCCGGUCUGAGAGGAUGAACGGCCACACUGGGACUGAGACACGGCCCAGACUCCUACGGGAGGUAGCAGUGGGGAAUCUUCCGCAAUGGACGAAAGUCUGACGGAGCAACGCCGCGUGAGUGAAGAAGGUUUUCGGAUCGUAAAGCUCUGUCUUCAAGGACGAAUGUAGAUAUUGUGAAUAAUGAUAUUUAAUGACGGUACUUGAGGAGGAAGCCACGGCUAACUACGUGCCAGCCGCCGCCGUAA
Molecule: ribosomal RNA, 515 nt
Filed under: uncultured bacterium
Lineage: Bacteria
Description: partial 16S ribosomal RNA
Rfam family: Bacterial small subunit ribosomal RNA
Source: RNAcentral